UACGUAGGGGGCAAGCGUUGUCCGGAUUUACUGGGCGUAAAGCGCGCGUAGGCGGAAGCUUAAGUGUGGCCUGAAAGCCCCCGGCUCAACCGGGGAAGGUGGCUGCAAACUGGGCUUCUUGAGGGCGAUAGAGGAGAGCGGAAUUCCUGGUGUAGCGGUGAAAUGCGUAGAUAUCAGGAGGAACACCGGUGGCGAAGGCGGCUCUCUGGGUCGGCCUUGACGCUGAGGCGCGAAAGCGUGGGGAGCGAACGGGA
RNAcentral lists this ribosomal RNA (254 nucleotides) under uncultured prokaryote. RNAcentral's name for it is "partial 16S ribosomal RNA". It matches the Rfam family "Bacterial small subunit ribosomal RNA", at positions 524 to 777 of the family's 1533-position model. The record is from RNAcentral.